CUGGGGAAUCCGAGCACAGGGCGGGACGUUCUUCUCAGAGUCCCUUUGGGCCCCACCCAGCGGCACCUCUUGUCUCUUUGUCACUCUUCCAGAACAUCUACAUCUGCCACAUGUGUUUCCUCCGCGAUCAUCGGCCUUUGCAAUGCGUGAGACCAGCUUAACUCUGCCACGUGUGGGAACCAGGCUGCCUCCUGACCUCCACGCCAAGGUCGGCUCUGCCAGGUGACACACCACACUGUCUUGUGAUUACCAGGCUCGACCAACUCUGGGUCCUGGACUGAUGCACCCGGACAGUGGGGCAAAAAGGGCGCGCCAGGGACGCCUGCACUGUGUGAGUUCCCUGGACUGGGACUUUGAGGAAGCCCAGGAAUGCUGAAGGAGUGUCUAUGCAAGUGGCCGCUAGUCGAUUCUGAGUUCCCGGCACCAGGGGGCACCAGAAACCGCCCGAGUCCCGUAGUGCCCACGCGGCCGGGAGGCUGCGUUGUCAUUUUAAGUAAAAAAUCGGCGAACAACCACUCCCUCUACAAACCUUCCCAAACCGAAUCAGCCCGGGAACCUGUGGAUGUCCUUACUGGCAUCCCUGCUUCACCGUCUCCUACCCCUCCAUUCUCUCUCCCUAGUUUCGGUCUUCCCACUUCCACCCAGGUGGUUUCUUGGCAACCUGCUUUUAGACAGCCCCUUCGCCUCGUCACCGAGACAGCUUUGCAGCGGGUGAGCGCUCCCGCCGCCAGUGCCCCCGCACUUUCUUGUGCUGGCAGGCUGGGAGGUUUGUUUGGGCUUUGCCUUCAAGAUCCAGGUCUCAGGAAAAGAAAAAGGAGGCGGUGGAGCGGGAAAGGGGGUUCGCUACAAACUCGGCGGUUUUCUUUUGGGGUUAGUGACAGAAAUUACUGAAAGCAACAGCUUUUCUUCAUUGUG
Molecule: long non-coding RNA, 915 nt
Filed under: Marmota monax (woodchuck)
Lineage: Eukaryota; Metazoa; Chordata; Mammalia; Rodentia; Sciuridae
Source: RNAcentral